RNAcentral lists this ribosomal RNA (356 nucleotides) under uncultured bacterium. RNAcentral's name for it is "bacterial SSU rRNA". It matches the Rfam family "Bacterial small subunit ribosomal RNA", at positions 1 to 334 of the family's 1533-position model. The record is from RNAcentral.
GUACUACUCUCAGAGUUUGAUCCUGGCUCAGGACGAACGCUGGCGGCAUGCCUAACACAUGCAAGUCGGACGGAACUUGUUAAAUGAAGUUUUCGGAUGGAUUUUGAUAAGUUUAGUGGCGGACGGGUGAGUAACGCGUGAGCAACCUGCCUUUCAGAGGGGGGACAACAGUUGGAAACGACUGCUAAUACCGCAUAACGUAUCGGAACCGCAUGGCUCUGAUACCAAAGAUUUUAUCGCUGAAAGAUGGGCUCGCGUACGAUUAGAUAGUUGGUGAGGUAACGGCUCACCAAGUCGACGAUCGUUAGCCGGACUGAGAGGUUGAACGGCCACAUUGGGACUGAGACACGGCCCAG